Peromyscus californicus insignis is the source of this 3451-nucleotide long non-coding RNA. RefSeq lists it as uncharacterized. The record is from RefSeq and is a predicted model, not a curated record. Lineage: Eukaryota; Metazoa; Chordata; Mammalia; Rodentia; Cricetidae. The transcript is spliced from 6 exons.
CUCUACACGGAAAGAUGACUAGAAACGCUGAGAUGACUGAUCUACCCUCUUAAAAAAAAUAGUCUCUAAUGUUUUCACAGAAAAACUUUGUUGGUUUUUCAGGAAGCCGCAUGGUCUUGCAAAGCACUAUUUUUAGAAGCAUGCAAAAGCUUCACUACAUUAUUCAUUCCGCUCCAAGGCCCACCACGUCUUCGAUGAAGUCCAAGCUGUGAAGUACUGUUACCAUCUGUUUGAUUGAACAUGAACAUCCGUGGAGCUCUGUUCAGUAGUCACCCUCCCUGCUUCUCAGUGUUCUCCUGUGAGCACUCUGCAGGCACCAACUGCCUUCUUUAAAUCGUCAACCAUUCUUUUCUACUCAAGGAGUCCUUGAAGUCUCAUUUUCUUCUCUGGCUAUGACACGGGGAACAAAUGACCUGACCCUUAAGCUAACAGAAUUCUCCUGCCUCCGAUCUUGCCGUGGAAGUGCUGAGAUUCCAGACACUGUUACUCUUCCCCCUCACUUGAUGUGUUCCCAUACUUGCAUGACAAGGGCUUUACCCACGGAGCCAUCUCUUCAGCCCUAAUAGGUGUAAAGAAUGAAAACAGCAAGAGAUUUGGGUCCCUCAGAACCUCAUGCUGUAAAUGUGCUGGCCGUGUGGGCACGGAUGACUUACAGAUCUCUCACAUGUGGGAUAAAUGUGGUAUUGCUGUAACAGAUGGGGUAGAAUGAAGCCAGGCCUUGCCUGAAGGUUUUCGUGUAGGCCACGUGGAGAUGCUGAAGGUCACAAGGAUUCCACGGCCUCAUCAGACUUUUUAUAUCCUCCUUUGUUAUGAAAAUCUUCUUCAGUCAAUGUUGUGUAGAGGAACGUACUUUGGAUAUGGAAGCAGUGCCUAUCUGUUGAGUUGAACUGAAAUAAGUAAAGUGUCAAAAACCUGGUAAGACAUUUCUGAUCAAUAAGAUUUUUUAAAAAAAUAGGAAAAUGCCAGGAGAAUGGCCUAGCAAUGUAGAAAGGCUUAUAAUAAAUGGCACACUUGGACAAGUGAACAAACAAUACCUUUAAUUGGCUUCAGAAAGAGAUAGCUUUCUAAGUAAACAAUCUCGUAGGUAUGAGCAGUCUUUGUUAAAGAUGUGCAGGUUAUAACAACAGCAGGUCCCACAUUGAACUCAUGAGAACAAUUCUUUCUUUUCUAAAAGUUUUAGAAACUGGUAUCUCCCAGAGGCUAUUGAACUGCUAGUAUUUUUGAUAUAUAAUUUCUGCCCUCUGAUUAAGAGGGCAUCAUAUACUUACACCGAUAAUCACUAUACUGUAUCAUAUGGCUUCUUAUAAGUGUCCUUGGUUUGAGUUAAAUAGGGUUUUAUUUUCCUCUUACAUGGAGUCAUUCUCUAUUUUAUAAAGAAAUGGGACUCACUGGAAUUAUGACAAAGGGUUAUGUGCCCCAAAAAAGGCCUGUGAGGGGCUGGGUAUUUGAACUGAUGUUCUAAUCGAAUAAUUGUAGAAAUUCUUAUGUAUUUUUCUCCCAACAUUUUGGUAUUCUCCUCUGUAAAAUAAAGGGGGUUGUACUGGAAACAUCUAAUUUAUUAUUAUUUACUAUUAUUCUAUUAUUAUUUAUUCUUAAUUUUAAAAAUAUUAUUGGGGAAGGAACAUGUGCACCACAGCAUAUAUGUGAAAGUAAAAGAACAACUUUGUGGAGUAAGUUCUCUCCUUCCUCCUUUAUAUGGGUUCUAAGGAUCAAAUUUAGGUACCCAGACAUGUACAGCAAGCUCCUUCACUCACUGAGCAGUCUUAUUGGCCUGAGACAUCUUCAAUUUUCUGUAUUUUUAUGUUAUUAUUAGAAUCACUAAUACAUUUCUACAGAUGGUGUGAUGAAUGCCAUGAAGUUGGCAUGCAUUCAAGUUAAGAUCUAAGUUUAACAGGUUUUCUAGGUUUGAAGUUCUGAGCUGUUUUAAUGCUGCUAACUGAUGUACUUGCUCCACACUGAAAGACAUCCCUGGCAGAAGAAAACAAUAACUAGCAAUCAUCAAUAAACAGAAAUGGAAGGUGACAAGGCUUUGAAAUUGUCUACUUUUUAGUAAUAAAGUCACGACUGUUCUUUGGUAUGUUCGGGAAAUUUUACAAGAAACAUUUAAAUGUUCUGUGAGGACAAUUUUGAGGAUGGAAAACCCUUAAAAUGUAAGGUUACAGUUAUUAUUUGACUGUCAAAACUGCUGUUCCCAGGGGCUUUGCUGACUCCAAACAUUUAUUGCCCUCCUGAUGUCCAUUUCUCUGCUUGUGAAGCCAUUACUUUAAGCUGCCCAACAGCUUUUUGUCCUUUAGAAUAAACUUGUUUUGUUCAGCAGUAGCCCAGCCAAGGAAACCGUGAAGCAGACAAACGUUUUCAAGUGUGUGUAUUAUCACCACCUUCACCAUUAAUUCUUCCCAAUUUUAACGAAAUAAAAUUUUACCGUUGACACAAUAGUGGUCCAUUUAAAAUGUAAGGAAAGUAGGAAAAAACAGAGAAGAAAGCAACACAUCACUUUAAGUGCUACCAUCUUAAAAUUAUGUUAUUAGCUCUAAGUAAAUAUUUUCCCAGCAUGUAUCUAUACCUCUUUGUGGCAGGGUCUCACUAAAGUUCAUGAAUACAGCAAUAAUUUUAUAAAAUGGGAUCCGAUAAUAAAUGUUUGUCAUAUUGCAUUGACUCAAGUGAGCAGGGAGCACAAUGUCCUCAUACACAAAGCCUAUGUAAACUUCUUGUUUUUCUGACAUUAGAUCAGUCCCAAGUUUUGGCUGUCUAGGCCAGCAAUCUCACUCUACUGUCCAAAAACAUAAGUGAGCUCCAGACUAUGUUUAAUAAAUUCAGAACUGUGGUGUUGUUACACUUGGCAAAACUAAGUUGACAAAGAAAUCUGUUUAUUUGGUUUAUAAAUAAAUGCUUGUAUAAAUGAAGCAUCCCUUGAGUCCCUUGGAUGAUAGUAAUUAACCCCAAAUAUUUUUAUUCAAGUGGAUGUGUUAUACUACUAGCAAUUUUGUUGGUGUUGCUCAUGAAGAUGAGAAAUGAGAUAGCAAACUAUCAUCUUGUUUUUCUUGCUAAACAAUUCUAUGAUAUGCAAGGAAUAUGGAUUUACUUUACUAAGACCCUGAGGUAGAAGAAGCUGCAUGUCGAUGAGAGAGAGGAGGGAUUCUGCAGGUGGUAGACGUCAAGAUCAUGAUGGGAGGACAUGCAGAGAUGACCGGCCACACUAGUGGAAGCCCAUGAACUGUGAACUGGUGGCUGUGGAGCCCCCAUGGGACUGAACUAGGCCCUCUGGAUAUGGAAGAUGGUUGUUUGGCUUGAAAUGUUUGGGGGGCACCCAGGCAGGGGGAUCAGGAUCCAUCCCUGGUUCAUGGGCAGGCUUUUGGGAAUCUGGUGCCUGUGGUGUGAAGCCUUGCGAAGCCUUGGUGCCGUGGGAAGGGGCUUGGACCUGCCUAGGCUCAGUGAGCUGGGCUCUGCUGAC